CUGUACAUUCCACAGGACUUUCGCACCAUAUGUAAAUAAGGUGUGCCCUGUAACCACUCAUCUGCUUCUGUGAGCCUGCUUCUGCCUCCCCAAACCCUAUAUAAGCUGCAUUAAAUCCAGCCCGGCAUGCUCAGCCUCCCGAAGGGCAGCAGCCAUGGUGAGUCAACAACAAAAGGUGGUGAUGGCCGGACAGUAAUUCAGUCACAUUGAGAGUACAAGACUCAGCCGUUGCUGACAGCAGAGUAGUUAUCCAGGGGACCAAGAGAACAGAAACUAGUGCCGAUUAUUUGACUAAUGUCUGCCUGCCUACUUUGUCUGUAUGUCUGUCCUCUCCCCCCCCCCUUUUUUUCCUUUCAUGACAAGACAAGAUUUUUAAAAAAUUACUCUUGACCAGUUAAGAUAGAAACAACAGGUUGGGUGUAGCUGCUGAUCCAUUGUCUGGGAACCAUAUGCAAUGUCACUCACUGUAUUACCCCUGUCUAUUUAGGCAGAGGAAUGUGUGGUGGCCACUCCCAGUGUGUGUGUGUGUGUGUGUGUGUGUGUGUGUGUGUGUGUUUCUAUAUGUUUCUGUAUUGAUCAGUAGCUUUCACCGGUAUUAGAACCUCUCAGCUUAAGUAUUGUGCCCGUCCUGUUGGGGACCAGAAUCCUUUUAUCUGUUCCAGGUUGCCCAGAGAAAACCCCUACACAAAACAAAAACAAACAAAACAAACACCCCACCUCCUUUCUCAUACCUGGGAGCAGGAGCACUUGCUUUUCUGUUACUUGCCCCCUGCCCAGUCAGGAUUGGUCCCUGUGUGGAGGUGGGGGCGGGCUUUCAUCCAGAGCCCCCUACCUUUUAAAAGGAAUGCGCACAGGGAGGGGAACUGGAUGGUUUUGUGUCUUUAUUCCCUCCCUUGCCUGCUCAAAGCAGCCCCAGGGAAAUGAAAAAGUUCCCCUGGGUUGAGCCCAAAGGAAAAGAGAAAGUUCCACUCCUUUCUCUUUCAUGAUUUAUGUCCCCUUUCCAAGCAGCGAUCUACGUUUAUUGGAAAACUGAAAAUCCCCCAUUCUCCGAGAAGAGUAGAAAAACCAUCCGUGGGCCAGGCAGGGAGAAACACUGCCAAACCUUGCAGACUGGACUGAAACAGAUUUUCCCUUCUGCUCAACACGACCAAUGAAAUCUUAAACACCUUUUACUUUUAAAAAUAAUUAAAGAUAGCUGCUAGAAAGAUUUCCUUUGUUGGGAGCAGGAGAGAUGGCUUAGAGGUUACGAGCGCUGACUUUUUCUAGAGGACCCAGGUUCAGUUUCAACAUUCACAUGGUAGCUCAUUACCUUUCAUAGCUCCAGCCCCAAGGGAUUCAAUGUUCUUUUCUGGCCUUUGCAGACACAAGGCAUGUAGGUGGUACACAGACAGACAUUGAGGAAAAUCACCCACACACUUAAAAUGACAUCACACACAUUUAGAAAGAAAAAAUAUUUCCUUUGUCGCCCAGUCAGCCUCAGAUAUUAGGGAAAAAGUUAUAAAAAUUAGAGGUAAAAGUAGGUGCCGGUUGCUGGAGGUUGCUCAAAGGCUAUUUAGCAACAGAUUGGUACAAGACCUUUUGCAAAACUGAAAAACCGCCAUUACCUUUGCUGAAUGUGAGACACAGACUGACAGAUACCCAGCAAACGUUUGGUGUCUUACCCUCUGUCAGAAGGAUAUCUCCUAGGUGAAAGAGGCUCCUAAUCAAAAGAUACAGCUGGACCAUCUCUCAGAUUGACAACAAAGAUUCCCAGGGGUAUGGAAAGAAACUAACGCCCAAGGACUGGCCCAACACCAAAUUCCCUUAAUGUUCAACCCACCAGUUCCGCUGCCCUCAUCCAAAUCAAACAAUAUCCAAUGACCUUGGAAACAAAAGGUGAAAUUGCCAUCCUCAUUGCCUGGCUGGGAGAUGCAGGCAUCGUGGUAUCUUGCUAGUGGCACUGGAAUACACCUCUCCUGUCUGUAAAGAAAGCUGGGACUUCUGAUUCUCAUAAGUUUGAGUCUUGCAGAGAAACACGUAUACACUGACCUUGACCUGAAAGAAGCAUUCUUGGGCUUCCUUUCGGAGGAGGUGAGUCAACCCAUCUUUGUUUUAAAUGGACAGACCCCAAAGAGAGGUUACAGCAGGCAACUUACAUGGACCAUGUUGCCUUAAAGAUUUAAAAAUUCACCAACUCUGUUUGAGUUAAUCUCUUCAGAAGUUUCAGGAAAUCAGAAGUUUCUCAGGAAAAUAGAUUAUAAAAGGGUGACUGAAGGCCAGCUGCCAGAGUCACAGAUCUUGGGCAACAAACUGUCAGCUAUAAAAGUCCAACUCCACCUAGGCACUCUGCACGUAUGUUACGGUUGUGUAGCUUGGUCCUCUUGUGGGACUCCUAACAAUGGGAACAGGGGCUAUCUCCAACUCUUUUUACAGGCCUUUGGGACCCCAUUCCUCAUACUGGGUCACCCUGCCCAGCCGUAAUACAUGGGCAGGUGCUUAGUCUUACUACAACUUGAUAUGCCAUGUUUUAUUGAUAUGUGUGGGAGACCUGCCCUUUCCUGAACAGAAAGAGAAGAGGAGGGGAUGGGGGGUCAGAGGGGUGAUGGAGGAGAGGUAUCUCAGCCUACAUCAUAGGACUGAUUGAUCUGAUUCAAGCUCUCAGAUGGGGAAAAGGAAGGAAAGUCCCCCAAUCUCAAUUCUUUUACCACGGUGCAUGUCCACAGUAUGAUCUAUAGAGAAAGAGGGUUUCUCACCUCUGGGGGAAAGGACAUGAGAGAAAAAGAGAAAGCCGGGUGGUGGUGGCACACACCCUUGAUCCCAGCACUUGGGAGGCAGAGGCAAGUGGAUCUCAGUCUUAUAGAGUCUUAUAUAGCAAGUUUCACAACAGUCAGGGUUGUUACACAGAGAAACCCUGUCUGGAAAAACCAAACCAAACCAACAACAACAAACCCAAGAGAAAAUCUUGGCCUUCCUAGAGGCUAUUUGGCUUCCCUUACAAAUUGUCCUCCAUGACUGGGCCACUGCCCUGACUGCCUCACAAACUGCCCUAAGACCAGUGUGACUCAUUGAUAUUCUACUACGUACCCUGACUGGGUGUUGCCUGAGACUCCAUGGAAAUGAAAAAAUGGACAGCUCGAGCCCACAGGCUGCUGGGGACCACCAGAGGGAAAGAAAGACCACUCUAGGAAAUAACUGGCAGGACUCUGGUAACUAACCUUCACCAUGCUACUCAUCUGGGGUCUACAAAACUUUCUGAGUUGCUCAGAGCAAGGAAUGUUGUACCUAGACUGGACAGCAGUGCCAGAGAUCUCAGCCAAAUUCAAAUAAACCCAAAACAGAGAGAGCCUUUACCUAGAAGGGGUCUGAACGAGAUACCACCCAGAACUCUGGGAAAACAGACUGGCCUGCUUAUGCUUAGACAUCUGGCCCCUGUGCUACAUAGGAAUAGAAACGAACCAGACUAUCAGCCCAUUGACAAAACUCACUGUGACUGGAGACAGCCCAAAUUAGUGCUAGAGGAUGUAUAAGAGGCUAAAAGUUGUCUAAUGUACAAAACCUUUAGCCCGGGCUCUUCCUUUAUCCUGAUGCCUGCUGUUCUGCCUUCCCGGUUAAUUCAUCUGGAUAAUGUGGAGUAUUUGCUUAACCAGGCAAACAUGUGUUACAUUUGUUCACGCUGCAUUUGCUAACUCUGUAGAGUUAAUUAAGUAAAAUUAACCUGGCUUCAGAGAGGUGGGGUUUGCAGCUGGUUGACCGGAAGUAGCAGGGAGGAGGCUAGCUUGGGUGUUUUUUUAGUUGGGGGUGUGUGGAAGGGAGUGGUUCUGGAAGCCAGCAAAGAGAGUAAGCUAGCAGGUUGUUAUUCAAAAUCACUGCGCUCAGUUUUUCACCCUGUGAAUCUUGAGUUUUAUUAGAACAAUAGAUACUUAGUUAGAGCCUCCUUUAGUGACAACAACAGAACCAUUGUCUGGGGGAACAGAAUUCGCCCCAGGCUUCUAGGCGUUUAAAGCGCAGGCACUGUGACAAAGGAAGGUAAUAAACAGCCCCUGAGAUUGCUCUGUGGGCAUAUACUAAUGGCCUCACUCAAUGUGCUUCUUCUGAUGCUUUCCAAACUAAAUAGACAGGUUGAUCAGGACCUAGAGCUAUUAAAAUGACAGAUUCCCUUGCAGAAAUGCUCCUACAGAAUAGGGGAGGCUAAAACUUUCCUUUCAUGAGAUAAAGAAAACUAUGCCUGACUUUGGGAAAAAUCUGUUGUUUCUAUGCCACUUGGUCAGGAGUGACUAAAAGUAGUCUUGCCGAGGUUAAAAAAAAAUCUAGGGGUUGGAGAAAUGGCUCAGUGGUUGAGAGCACCUUCUGUUCUUCCAGGGGACCCAGGUUCGAUUCCCAGCACCUACAUGGCAGCUCACAAUUGUCUGUAAGUCCACUUCCAGGGUACCUGUCACUGUCAUACAGAUGCAGGCAAAAGCACCAAUGCACAUAAAUAAAAGAUUUUUAAAAAUCCAUUCUAUUUCCCCUUCCCAGAGAAAUUCAUGCAUCCCACCCCCUUGAUCCCUGCUGGUUACUUAGCCUCUGUUGGUCUGCGGAUUGUUUCGUGGUUAUCCUUUACUUAUAAGUUAAUACCCACUUAUAAGUGAGUACAUGCCACGUUUGUCUUUCUGGGUCUGGGUUAUGGUCAGGAUGUAAUGUAUGAGAAACAAACAAACAAAGCAAAAGAAUCGGGCAUUGGUAACACAUGUCUUUAUCCAGCAUUCAGGAGGAAGAGGCAGGCCGAUCUCUGUGAGUUUUAGGCUAUCCUGGUCUACAGAGUGAGUUCCAGUACAUCCAAGACUACACAGAGAAACCCUGUCUUUAAAACAAAAACAAAGAGAUAAUAAGCACACGAGAGAGACAUUAAUAAAUGUUUUUAAAGACAUUAAUUAAUGGCUAAGUGUUGUUGUUAACUAAAGUAUGUCAACCCCCAACAUGUUUGUUUGUGCUUAAAAGAGCACCCUGAGAAAAGCUCAGUGCCACACUGGGAUCCCAAAUACCCAAUGUAUUCGAAGUCUGAUUCGUUUUAUGGGACUCUUGGCCUUUUGUGAUAUGUGAACGAUGAUAACCUUCCACCAGUUGCAGAGAACUGACAGCAAUACAAGUCCCUCCUCCUAGACUAAAGAGAGCUCUGUCCAGCGGAGAUUUGUUCAAUGCCUCCUUCCAAUUGCUGAAGAAAUGGCUCAGUGGUUGAGAGCACCGUCUGUUCUUCCAGGGGACCCAGGUUCGAUUCCCAGCACCUACAUGGCAGCUCACAAUUGUCUGUAAGUCCACUUCCAGGGUACCUGUCACUGUCAUACAGAUGCAGGCAAAAGCACCAAUGCACAUAAAUAAAAGAUUUUUAAAAAUCCA
Long non-coding RNA from Mesocricetus auratus (golden hamster), 5352 nucleotides. RefSeq lists it as uncharacterized. The transcript is spliced from 2 exons. Lineage: Eukaryota; Metazoa; Chordata; Mammalia; Rodentia; Cricetidae. The record is from RefSeq and is a predicted model, not a curated record.